This 497-nucleotide ribosomal RNA is filed under the name uncultured bacterium. RNAcentral describes it as "partial 16S ribosomal RNA". It matches the Rfam family "Bacterial small subunit ribosomal RNA", at positions 28 to 507 of the family's 1533-position model. The record is from RNAcentral.
GAUGAACGCUGGCGGCGUGCCUAAUACAUGCAAGUCGAGCGAACAGAUAAGGAGCUUGCUCCUUUGACGUUAGCGGCGGACGGGUGAGUAACACGUGGGUAACCUACCUAUAAGACUGGGAUAACUUCGGGAAACCGGAGCUAAUACCGGAUAAUAUUUCGAACCGCAUGGUUCGAUAGUGAAAGAUGGUUUUGCUAUCACUUAUAGAUGGACCCGCGCCGUAUUAGCUAGUUGGUAAGGUAACGGCUUACCAAGUCGACGAUACGUAGCCGACCUGAGAGGGUGAUCGGCCACACUGGAACUGAGACACGGUCCAGACUCCUACGGGAGGCAGCAGUAGGGAAUCUUCCGCAAUGGGCGAAAGCCUGACGGAGCAACGCCGCGUGAGUGAUGAAGGUCUUCGGAUCGUAAAACUCUGUUAUUAGGGAAGAACAUACGUGUAAGUAACUGUGCACGUCUUGACGGUACCUAAUCAGAAAGCCACGGCUAACUACGUG